This 691-nucleotide long non-coding RNA is filed under the name Ananas comosus (pineapple). RNAcentral describes it as "long non-coding RNA (ACOM_LNC001034)". The record is from RNAcentral. Lineage: Eukaryota; Viridiplantae; Streptophyta; Magnoliopsida; Poales; Bromeliaceae.
CUUAGGGUGCGUUUGGUUCGCAUUAUGAAAGAUUACUAGGAAUAAAAGAUAUCCGAGAAUCUUAUUCCUAUUCAUCCUAUUACUAAGAAUGUGGAAUUCCUGUGUUUGGUUCGCACGGUAAUAUUAAAUAGCCAUAUUAUUUAAUAUUACAAAAAAUAUACAAUUAAUUAAUUAAUUUAUUUAAUUAAUUUUAGAUAAUGUUACCAAAAGUUUCGACAUCUUUUUAGAAAAAAGGAAGAGAGAGUAUAAGUUAGAGAGAGAGAGCAUAAUUAAAAAAAUAGAAAGAAAAAUAUAGUCAAAAUUAGAGGGAGUGGGAGAGUUGAAAUUUUAGAAAGAGAGAGAGAGAGAGAGAAAGUUUAGUUUAGAAAGAGAAAAAAAAGUUGAAUUUUAGAAAGAAAAAUAAGUUUAGAGAGAGAUAUAAGGUUAGAGUGUAAAAAAAAAAUAAUAUCAAUUAGCCGGUGAGUAGGAAGAAAGAAAGAGAUUAGACAUAUUAUGAUUACUCAAAUCCAUUAAUAUGAGGAUACCCACCCUCCUCCAAGGGAAUGAGAUUAGUACUUUGGGGUGAAUCUUAUUCCCAAGUGAAUCCAAUAUUACCAACUGGAUUACUUAGUGCGUUUAGCCAAACACCGUCAUAUUUUUUUAUUCCCAUUGGAUUACUAGGAAUCUUUAAAAGAUAGCGUGAACCAAACGC